RNAcentral lists this ribosomal RNA (570 nucleotides) under uncultured Rhodospirillaceae bacterium. RNAcentral's name for it is "bacterial SSU rRNA". It matches the Rfam family "Bacterial small subunit ribosomal RNA", at positions 328 to 916 of the family's 1533-position model. Lineage: Bacteria; Pseudomonadati; Pseudomonadota; Alphaproteobacteria; Rhodospirillales; Rhodospirillaceae. The record is from RNAcentral.
GCCAAGCUCAGUCGAGAUUGGCAGCAGUGGGGAAUAUUGGACAAUGGGCGCAAGCCUGAUCCAGCCAUGCCGCGUGAGUGAAGAAGGCCCUAGGGUUGUAAAGCUCUUUCACCUGUGAAGAUGAUGACGGUAGCAGGACAAGAAGCCCCGGCUAACUCCGUGCCAGCAGCCGCGGUAAUACGGAGGGGGCUAGCGUUGCUCGGAAUUACUGGGCGUAAAGGGCGCGCAGGCGGAACACAUAGUCAGACGUGAAAGCCCCGGGCUUAACCUGGGAACUGCGUUUGAUACUUGUGAUCUGGAGUCUCGGAGAGGGUGGUGGAAUUCCCAGUGUAGAGGUGAAAUUCGUAGAUAUUGGGAAGAACACCAGUGGCGAAGGCGGCCACCUGGACGAGUACUGACGCUGAGGCGCGAAAGCGUGGGGAGCAAACAGGAUUAGAUACCCUGGUAGUCCACGCCGUAAACGAUGUGUGCAAGACGUCGGGCAGCAUGCUGUUCGGUGUCGCAGUUAACGCACUAAGCACACCGCCUGGGGAGUACGGUCGCAAGAUUAAAACUCAAAUGAAUUGACGG